GAUGAACGCUGGCGGCGUGCUUAACACAUGCAAGUCGAACGGGAUCCAAGGGGUGCUUGCACUUUUUGGUGAGAGUGGCGAACGGGUAAGUAACACGUGAGUAACCUGUCCUUUUCUUUGGGAUAAGCAUUCGAAAGGGUGUUUAAUACCUUAUGUUCUGUCUGCCUCGCAUGGGGUGGGUGGGAAAGGCUUUGGCCGGAUUUGGGUGGGCUCGCGGUCUAUCAGCUUGUUGGUGGGGUGAUGGCUUACCAAGGCUUUGACGGGUAGCCGGCCUGAGAGGGUGGUCGGUCACAUUGGGACUGAGAUACGGCCCAGACUCCUGCGGGAGGCAGCAGUGGGGGAUAUUGCACAAUGGGCGAAAGCCUGAUGCAGCGACGCCGCGUGGGGGAUGAAGGCCUUCGGGUUGUAAACUUCUUUUGCUCUGAACAAGGCAUGCCAGUGGGUGUGUUGAGUGUAGGGGUUGAUUAGCGCCGGCUAACUACGUG
RNAcentral lists this ribosomal RNA (485 nucleotides) under uncultured bacterium. Its description in RNAcentral is "partial 16S ribosomal RNA". It matches the Rfam family "Bacterial small subunit ribosomal RNA", at positions 28 to 507 of the family's 1533-position model. The record is from RNAcentral.